AUACACUAAAGUCCCGUAUUAGUAGACUCCACCCACAGCGCCUAGAGCCGCGAGCUGCGUGAGUGAAGAGAAGACGUGGAAGGCGAUUUGAUCAAUUGAAAAUGUAUGUAUAUCGAUCAUAUGACACAUACGUUAUAUGUUGUUGUCGGCGUUAGAGCAACCAGGCGAUCGAGGGAGCGACUUUCUCACGGGCAGGACUCGCUGCAGCACAUUCGGUCACACUGCAGGUGCUGAAACAUUACAAGUGAACAGGACUCUACUAGAAUGGUAGAAGUUGCCCAACCGAAUACAGAUGGAUCUGUAAGUGAUGAUGACAGUGAACAUUGGCAAGAGUGGAGGAAGCUGAAAGACGACUUUCAAGGAGACAGAGAAGAACCCGUUUCUGAGAUUUUCCCAGCUGGAAACCUUCAGAUGCCUGGUGAAAGCAGGGUCGAGUUUUUUAGGCCUGAUAGCAGUGAUUUCAACUUCAGGCUCAGCUGUUUUGAUGCUAUUGCUAAGUAUCAUAGUGAAUUGGCAUUGCAGAACAUUGAAAAAUUGAUAAAAGUCUCCGAAUGACUAGCAGGUGGUCUACAGCACAGUUUCAAGAGCUUGUUGAUUUUGUAUCAGAAACGAUGACUAAGUUGAGUAAAGAAAAUAGUGAUUUAAAGGCUGAAAACAGACAUCUGAAGCAAUGUUGUGAGAAUGAGCGAUCUCUUAGACUGGAAAAUGAGAGAGAGCAUCAGAAGGAACUGAAGGACAUGAAGCAGCUGUUGGAGCUUGUGAAUAGAUUGUCUCUUGCUCAGGCAAGUGAGGAAACGACUAAAAAUACAAUAGAGGUGCCACAAGGGCUGCUGAGAACACUUAAAAGAGUAAUCCAUGUGAGAGAGUUUGAUGCUUCAAAGAUCAGUGGCAUGCAAGGUCUUGAUGUUGACACCAUUCCAGACAGUGGUUUGUCAUCAUCAGCACGUGUAUCCAAGGACGACAAGAAACGAUAACACUGAUUGUGCAUCCAGCAUUGCUGGCAUGUCCAGCCUAAGAGAAGAGUGAAUCAAAGACAAAGGGAUUUUGUCAUCAACUGCGCUGAAAACCAACAAUGAGUGUAGGUACACAACAAUCAAGCAAGCUGUAAAUAGCAGCAGUUCAGUCAUAUUAUUUACGCUUGCUGUACAUACGGCCACAGCUGCAGCUAGCAACUGUUCUAUGCUGAUGCAGUGUGCAUGUAUGAGUAUGUGACACACUGCAUCAUGACAUCAUGGUAUACUACGAUGAGUACAAUAGUUACUAUUAAAGUAUGUUCUAUUUUAAUGUUGACAAUGUGCAUAUAGUGUUGACUACAGUGACUGUACAAUUGAGGGCUGCAUGUGUUUGGUCUUGUAUCUGUAAAUUUCUUUACACAUAUUGAAUUGAGUGGUAGUGAACACAGUA
This is a long non-coding RNA of Corticium candelabrum, 1404 nucleotides long. RefSeq lists it as uncharacterized. The transcript is spliced from 3 exons. The record is from RefSeq and is a predicted model, not a curated record. Lineage: Eukaryota; Metazoa; Porifera; Homoscleromorpha; Homosclerophorida; Plakinidae.